This 406-nucleotide ribosomal RNA is filed under the name uncultured bacterium. Its description in RNAcentral is "partial 16S ribosomal RNA". It matches the Rfam family "Bacterial small subunit ribosomal RNA", at positions 29 to 526 of the family's 1533-position model. The record is from RNAcentral.
AUUGAACGCUGGCGGCAGGCCUAACACAUGCAAGUCGAACGAGUGGCGGACGGGUGAGUAAUGUCUGGGAAACUGCCUGAUGGAGGGGGAUAACUACUGGAAACGGUAGCUAAUACCGCAUACCAUCAGAUGUGCCCAGAUGGGAUUAGCGAGUGGGUGGGGUAACGGCUCACAAGGGCGACGAUCCCUAGCAGGUCUGAGAGGAUGACCAGCCACACUGGAACUGAGAAACGGUCCAGACUCGUACGGGAGGCAGCAGUGGGGAAUAUUGCACAAUGGGCGAAAGCCUGAUGAAGCCAUGCCGCGUGUAUGAAGAAGGCUUUCGGGUUGUAAAGUACUUUCAGCGGGGAGGCGGUACCCGCAGAGGAAGCAACGGCUAACUCCGUGCCAGCAGCCGCGGUAAUAC